This 497-nucleotide ribosomal RNA is filed under the name uncultured bacterium. RNAcentral describes it as "partial 16S ribosomal RNA". It matches the Rfam family "Bacterial small subunit ribosomal RNA", at positions 28 to 507 of the family's 1533-position model. The record is from RNAcentral.
GAUGAACGCUGGCGGCGUGCCUAAUACAUGCAAGUCGAGCGAACAGACGAGGAGCUUGCUCCUCUGACGUUAGCGGCGGACGGGUGAGUAACACGUGGAUAACCUACCUAUAAGACUGGGAUAACUUCGGGAAACCGGAGCUAAUACUGGAUAAUAUAUUGAACCGCAUGGUUCAAUAGUGAAAGACGGUUUUGCUGUCACUUAUAGAUGGAUCCGCGCCGCAUUAGCUAGUUGGUAAGGUAACGGCUUACCAAGGCAACGAUGCGUAGCCGACCUGAGAGGGUGAUCGGCCACACUGGAACUGAGACACGGUCCAGACUCCUACGGGAGGCAGCAGUAGGGAAUCUUCCGCAAUGGGCGAAAGCCUGACGGAGCAACGCCGCGUGAGUGAUGAAGGUCUUCGGAUCGUAAAACUCUGUUAUUAGGGAAGAACAAACGUGUAAGUAACUAUGCACGUCUUGACGGUACCUAAUCAGAAAGCCACGGCUAACUACGUG